ACCCCUUUUGGAGCACGCGCCGUGAGACUAUACCUUAGGGAAGUGAGAGAUGCACAAGCUAAGGCAAGAGGGAUAGCCUACGAGAAGAAGAAAAGAAAGAAGCCACAGCAGCAACAGCAACAGCAACAGUUGCAAUCUUCAAAUGAUNNAUUCAGCAAGGUGGUAGUGCCGCUGGUAGAGUCGGUGACCGCCGUGGUGGAUUUGUUGAAAGAAACAUGGCAAGUAGGGGCAUAGUUAAUAUGGGGAAUUUCUCUAUACUGAACUAAGGGGAUGUUGAUGGGUUUGGUGAUAUAGAGGCUUAGUGAUGCUAGGG
Molecule: unclassified non-coding RNA, 313 nt
Filed under: Hevea brasiliensis (rubber tree)
Lineage: Eukaryota; Viridiplantae; Streptophyta; Magnoliopsida; Malpighiales; Euphorbiaceae
Source: RNAcentral